This 763-nucleotide ribosomal RNA is filed under the name bacterium. RNAcentral describes it as "bacterial SSU rRNA". It matches the Rfam family "Bacterial small subunit ribosomal RNA", at positions 384 to 1139 of the family's 1533-position model. The record is from RNAcentral.
UGACGGAGCAACGCCGCGUGAGUGAUGAAGGUUUUCGGAUCGUAAAGCUCUGUUGUUAGGGAAGAACAAGUACCGUUCGAAUAGGGCGGUACCUUGACGGUACCUAACCAGAAAGCCACGGCUAACUACGUGCCAGCAGCCGCGGUAAUACGUAGGUGGCAAGCGUUGUCCGGAAUUAUUGGGCGUAAAGGGCUCGCAGGCGGUUUCUUAAGUCUGAUGUGAAAGCCCCCGGCUCAACCGGGGAGGGUCAUUGGAAACUGGGGAACUUGAGUGCAGAAGAGGAGAGUGGAAUUCCACGUGUAGCGGUGAAAUGCGUAGAGAUGUGGAGGAACACCAGUGGCGAAGGCGACUCUCUGGUCUGUAACUGACGCUGAGGAGCGAAAGCGUGGGGAGCGAACAGGAUUAGAUACCCUGGUAGUCCACGCCGUAAACGAUGAGUGCUAAGUGUUAGGGGGUUUCCGCCCCUUAGUGCUGCAGCUAACGCAUUAAGCACUCCGCCUGGGGAGUACGGUCGCAAGACUGAAACUCAAAGGAAUUGACGGGGGCCCGCACAAGCGGUGGAGCAUGUGGUUUAAUUCGAAGCAACGCGAAGAACCUUACCAGGUCUUGACAUCCUCUGACAAUCCUAGAGAUAGGACGUCCCCUUCGGGGGCAGAGUGACAGGUGGUGCAUGGUUGUCGUCAGCUCGUGUCGUGAGAUGUUGGGUUAAGUCCCGCAACGAGCGCAACCCUUGAUCUUAGUUGCCAGCAUUCAGUUGGGCACU